AGAUCCUUGAAUUGUCUAAGCCCGAGUUGCCUAAAGGACCAGAAUUACUUAAGCCUGAGUUACCUAGUGUACCUAAUAUCCCUAAGGUUCCUGAAUUGCCUAAACCAGAGUUGCCUGAAGUCCCAAAGUUGCCUAAGCCUGAGUUGCCAAAAGUACCAGAAUUGCCUAAACCUGAGUUACCUAAAGUACCUGAGAUCCCUGAAUUGCCUAAUCUCGAGUUGCCUAAAGUAACACAAUUGCCUAAGUCUAAGUUACCAAAAGUACCUGAGAUCCCUAAGGUCCCUGAAUUUCCUAAGCCCGAGUUGCCUAAAGUUCCUGAAUUGUCUAAGCCAGAGUUACCAAAAGCACCUGAGAUUCCUAAGGUCCCUGAAUUUCCUAAGCCCGAGUUGCCUAAAGUUCCUGAAUUGUCUAAGCCAGAGUUACCAAAAGCACCUGAGAUCCCUAAGGUCCCUGAAUUUCCUAAGCCCGAGUUGCCUAAAGUUCCUGAAUUGCCUAAGCCAGAGUUACCAAAAAUACCUGAAAUCCCUAAGGUCCCUGAAUUUCCUAAGCCAGAGUUGCCUAAAGUUCCUGAAGUGCCUAAGCCAGAGUUGUCAAAAGUACCAAAGCUACCUAAGUCUGAGUUACCUAAAGUACCUGAGAUUCCUGAAUUGCCUAAGUCCGAGUUGC
RNAcentral lists this long non-coding RNA (666 nucleotides) under Glycine max (soybean). RNAcentral describes it as "long non-coding RNA (GMAX_LNC003149)". Lineage: Eukaryota; Viridiplantae; Streptophyta; Magnoliopsida; Fabales; Fabaceae. The record is from RNAcentral.